Molecule: long non-coding RNA, 1300 nt
Organism: Salarias fasciatus (jewelled blenny)
Lineage: Eukaryota; Metazoa; Chordata; Actinopteri; Blenniiformes; Blenniidae
Exons: 4
Source: RefSeq, a predicted model, not a curated record
UGGACAGGCGUUCUGCAUCAUGUGACUGGAGUACAUGAGCGGUACCUUGGUGCCUGUCACCAUGGCACCUUGGAGGAAGACAGGAGUAAAGAAUGGAUUCCAAAGAGUUCUGCAGCACAUAAAUGACUCCAGCAAAGUGUUUAUGAUGCACGUUGGUUGAAGAACAUUCCAAAGUAUCUCUCUUUCAGAUCAACUGCAGACCUGGAGUCAUUCCACAACCACAUACUUAUGUAUGUGUCAAAAUGCUUCUGCUUGCUCGUACCCAGUUGGCAGGCCUGUAUUACAACUACCACCUCAACCGAGGAGCACGCAAAAACGCUGAUGACUCAUUUCAGUAUGGCAGAAUUUUUAACAAAAGAUCUAAGAUGUGGCGACUAUACACCAUCAAGAACAAGAAAGAUUCCAAGUACAUCCCAGAUCUACAGAGCAUCAUUCUGCAAUCAAGACUGCUGGCUCCCAGAGGGAUGGCAGGGAAGCAGCCUCCUGCACAUGAUGAUCCACGGAGGCUUGGGCCCUUGUCGGGUGGCCCAGCCCCUACAGUACAGGAGCUGAAGGAGCACAAAGCCCGCCGAGGGCUAGGCCAACCAUCUUACCCUUGACCCGUUUGUAGAUCUAAUGAAGACAUCUGUUUUCCUUGAGGAGAACGCAGCUUACAACUUCUGUGUAGCAACUUGUGAAAGAUGCCAAGUGGAUGCUGUCUUCAUGUCUUCCAUCCACAAUGUGCUUUAUACAUUUUCUCAUAGAUGAUAUGUAAGAAAGAUUUUAUUAAAAAAAAAAAAAUUGAAUAUUAACCUUCUGAGUAAAAAGUGUAGUAUCAAAUAAUAAAUGUUCAUCCAGCUUGAUUUGACACAGUGUUAGUAAAGGUAUAUUCUUGAAUACAGUUCAAUCAGAGGAUGCAUACAAAAGUACACAAUAAGUUUACACUCUGGCUGGAACAAAAACUACAUCAAUGCCAUGUGGGUCUGGAAAACGAUCCCGAAUCUUCCAGACGCAACAACUGGGGAUCACAACUCUGUUUCCUGGUCCGAGUACACCAUAUUGCCAAACAACAAAGUUCCUGUAAGCAGCAUAGCGAAACUGCCUGUGACGUUCUCCUAAUUCCUGGGAGUCCUCCUCUGCCCUAAGGUCAUUCCAGAUCCGUUUGGCCAGUCUUAGGACAUCUUCCUGCAGGAUGUACACUUCCAAGUGAGGCAACAGUGAUAUGCAGUUUUGUGGUUGUUGUUGACAGCAUUUCUGUUCCAGUAGUGUGAGCAUAUUUCUGCAGUUUCCACAGACACACCAGCUCGGUGCCUGUGGAUGA